RNAcentral lists this long non-coding RNA (652 nucleotides) under Hordeum vulgare. RNAcentral's name for it is "long non-coding RNA (HVUL_LNC000100)". Lineage: Eukaryota; Viridiplantae; Streptophyta; Magnoliopsida; Poales; Poaceae. The record is from RNAcentral.
CUAGCUUGGUUGAGAUUGUGGAAAGAGUAGAGUAGCUAAUUUUCAGAAAUGAAAGACCCCAUAGGAUACUAAUCAUUAGGCUUGGGAGGCAUUUGGAUAACCAUUUGUAGUAGCAAUGAACGGUAUCAAGGAUUUAGCAUCACUAUUUGUUGAGAUAUGUAAGUGUUAGAAUAAACCCUUCAGUAGUGGAAAACGGGGCUUUAGUCCAGGUUAGUAAGGACCGUUAGUCCCGGUUGUGCAACCGGAACUAAGGAAUCAUGACUAAAGGCCCUCCUUGUUAGUCUUGGUUGUGUUACGAACAGAGACUAAAGGGGCUCCACGUGGUCGCCGUGGAACUGCCAAGCAGGAGGACCUUUAGUCCCGGUUGGUAAUGCCAACCGGGACUAAAGCGAGCCCCGGGGUUUAUGUUUUUUUUCAAAAGGAGGGGUUUAGACUUUUCAUUUUUAUGUUAUGUUUUCCAUUCAACUACAUAUAGCAAUGAAAGAAUCAUUACAAAAGAUUGUCAUCAAUAUAGAGAAAUGACCUCUUUCUUCGUGCUUGGUCGAACAACAAAUUUGCGCAUAUACAUUCGACGCUACUAUGUAUAAUACACGUCCAUGCAUAUAUACAAUAUAAUAUCUCUUACGAUCCCUAAUAUCUAGUUAUCAAAAUU